Molecule: unclassified non-coding RNA, 1647 nt
Filed under: Actinia tenebrosa (Australian red waratah sea anemone)
Lineage: Eukaryota; Metazoa; Cnidaria; Anthozoa; Actiniaria; Actiniidae
Description: uncharacterized LOC116288263, transcript variant X1
Source: RNAcentral
GUUGGUCGACGACAACAUUUUUUGAAUUGACUGUAUUUACAACCAUAAUACUGCACGUUACUCUUUAUAACAAGUUAUUUUUCACCGCUGUUUGCUAUCGUUUCACUGCAUAACUCAGCCAAGCACUGUGGGCCAACCUAAACUAAAUACUGCUGAACCCUGGCUGAAAUAACAUGUACUUUACAAUCUGUAAAUAAUGUGCAUCUAGUUAUAUUGUAUGAAUUUUUGCUGUGUUGUCAUUAAAAAAAACAUGUACUUUGCCUCUGCAAACAGUAAAAAAGGGAAAUCAUAUUACGCAGUAAAGGAAUACUGUGAUGUCAUUGAUGAAAAUGGUAAUGUUAAAAGGAAAACUGGAGUGCAAACUAAAGUUAGUUUUGAAGGCCAAGUAGUGGAUGUACAAUCUUCUCAAAAUAAUGAUUCAAGUGAAGAUGAGGAUGAUCAUGUUUAUCAUGAUUUAGAUAUACCAGUAGUUGAACAAUCAAUUUCUACAGACCACCAAAAAAGAAAGGAAAGCAAUGCUCGGCAUUGGCAAGAGCUGCGUUCCAAGCUGGUUGAAAUUUCCCUCGCAACAGAGGGAUUCCCUAGUUAUGGUGUUACGUGUAGGAGAUGUAGUAAUGACACUGCCAUUUAUCGCUGUAUUGAUUGUGGUGGUGCAGCGCUUUCUAUGUGUAAGGCCUGUUGUGAUCAAGUACAUGAAAAUGAAAAUAUUUUCCAUUUUCAAGAGGUUUGGCAGGAUCAAGAGUGGAAACCAUACUUAUUGCCGAAAGAACUGGUAAACCCAUUCCAUGACUGUGCUAAUGGGAAGGAAAAAAGGAUGAUAACAGUGGUAGAUUCAAAAGGUAGACAUCAUGAUGUUUCAAUAACUUUCUGCCAAUGUGAAACUCCAGGGGAAACUUUGGCGCAUCUUCAUCUGUGGCCAGCAACACCAUGUAACCCAAGCCUUGCAUUCACUUGGGACUUACUUACUAGUCUUCAGUCACUGAUGUUUGAAUGUCAGGUUUCUGUGUACGACUACGUGAAACACCUGGAUUUCUACAAAACGAUUUUUGACAGGGUAUUACAGCCUGCUUGCAUCACCAGAUGCAGCACAGGCCAAGAAUCGUACCAUUUACAGACAGCUUUUAGAAAGUUUCGAAGAGUUUAGAUACCAUUGGAAGGCAAGAGAAAACUGUUGUCUAGAGAAAGAUAAGUUAGCAAUCAUGUUGAAUCCCUUGCGGUGCCCUGCAUGUCCAACAGGAUCAGAUCAGGUUCCAGGUGACACAUUUAUGUCAGCUGAUGCAUGCUUUGGGCUACCAAGAAAAAAGUCUCGUUCUAGAAGCUACCAAGAGCCCUUGUCUAGUGGCAUGUACUUCCUUCCGCAAUCUGAUACUGACACAUUUAUGGAAUUGUAUCCAAAAUCAACAAAAGACCAGGAUGAGAAUGCAAAGAUAUUUUUUCCGAGAGUAAUUGCAAGGCCCAAGCAAAUACAGGGGGAUGUAAUUACCCCUACACACUGAAAAACUGCAGAAAAACAUGUAAAAACUGCACAAUAACAACGACAAGCCCACCUACACAAGCCACGACNACAAAAAUUACAACAACAAAAGUUACAACUACCAUACCUCACAAUAAUAACCUUUCUACAACACCUUUGAUAAACAUUAGUAC